Molecule: ribosomal RNA, 1449 nt
Filed under: uncultured bacterium
Lineage: Bacteria
Description: bacterial SSU rRNA
Rfam family: Bacterial small subunit ribosomal RNA
Source: RNAcentral
GAGUUUGAUCCUGGCUCAGAACGAACGCUGGCGGCAGGCCUAACACAUGCAAGUCGAACGAUCCUUCGGGAUAGUGGCAGACGGGUGAGUAACGCGUGGGAAACUACCUUUCGGUACGGAAUAGCCUCGGGAAACUGGGAUUAAUACCGUAUACGUCCUUCGGGAGAAAGAUUUAUCGCCGAUUGAGGUGCCCGCGUUGGAUUAGCUUGUUGGUGAGGUAAUGGCUCACCAAGGCGACGAUCCAUAGCUGGUCUGAGAGGAUGAUCAGCCACACUGGGACUUAGACACGGCCCAGACUCCUACGGGAGGCAGCAGUGGGGAAUAUUGGACAAUGGGCGAAAGCCUGAUCCAGCCAUGCCGCGUGAGUGAUGACGGCCUUAGGGUUGUAAAGCUCUUUCAGUGGGGAAGAUAAUGACGGUACCCACAGAAGAAGCCCCGGCUAACUCCGUGCCAGCAGCCGCGGUAAUACGGAGGGGGCUAGCGUUGUUCGGAAUUACUGGGCGUAAAGCGCGCGUAGGCGGAUCUUUAAGUCAGGGGUGAAAUCCUGGGGCUCAACCUCAGAACUGCCCUUGAUACUGAAGAUCUUGAGUCCGGAAGAGGGUUAGUGGAAUUCCCAGUGUAGAGGUGAAAUUUCGUAGAUAUUGGGAAGAACACCAGUGGCGAAGGCGGCUAACUGGUCCGGUACUGACGCUGAGGUGCGAAAGCGUGGGGGAGCAAACAGGAUUAGAUACCCUGGUAGUCCACGCCGUAAACGAUGGAUGCUAGCCGUCGGACAGUAUACUGUUCGGUGGCGCAGCUAACGCAUUAAGCAUCCCGCCUGGGGAGUACGGUCGCAAGAUUAAAACUCAAAGGGAUUGACGGGGGCCCGCACAAGCGGUGGAGCAUGUGGUUUAAUUCGAAGCAACGCGCAGAACCUUACCUACCCUUGACAUCCCGAUCGCGGUUUCCAGAGAUGGAUUCCUUCAGUUAGGCUGGAUCGGUGACAGGUGCUGCAUGGCUGUCGUCAGCUCGUGUCGUGAGAUGUUGGGUUAAGUCCCGCAACGAGCGCAACCCUCGCCUUUAGUUGCCAGCAUUUAGUUGGGCACUCUAAAGGGACUGCCGGUGAUAAGCCGGAGGAAGGUGGGGAUGACGUCAAGUCCUCAUGGCCCUUACGGGUAGGGCUACACACGUGCUACAAUGGCGGUGACAGUGGGCAGCCACUCCGCGAGGAGGAGCUAAUCCCAAAAAGCCGUCUCAGUUCGGAUUGCACUCUGCAACUCGGGUGCAUGAAGUUGGAAUCGCUAGUAAUCGUAGAACAGCAUGCUACGGUGAAUACGUUCCCGGGCCUUGUACACACCGCCCGUCACACCAUGGGAGUUGGCUUUACCUUAAGACGGUGUGCUAACCUUCGGGAGGCAGCCGGCCACGGUAGGGUCAGCGACUGGGGUGAAGUCGUAACAAGGUAGCCGU